UCUAGGUGAAAAGGGACAAACAGCUAG
Molecule: non-coding RNA, 27 nt
Filed under: Cricetulus griseus (Chinese hamster)
Lineage: Eukaryota; Metazoa; Chordata; Mammalia; Rodentia; Cricetidae
Source: RNAcentral